RNAcentral lists this unclassified non-coding RNA (227 nucleotides) under Hevea brasiliensis (rubber tree). Lineage: Eukaryota; Viridiplantae; Streptophyta; Magnoliopsida; Malpighiales; Euphorbiaceae. The record is from RNAcentral.
CUUGGCACUCCUCCUCCUGAAUCCAUUUCAAGAAUUAGGAAUGAAAAGGCAAGAAGGUACCUUAAUUGCAUGCGGAAGAAACAACCAGUUCCAUUCUCACAGAAGUUCCCUAACGCAGAUCCUUUGGCUCUGCGCCUAGUCGAAUGCCUACUUGCAUUUGAUCCUAAAGAUCGUCCAACAGCUGAAGAGGCAUUAGCUGAUCCUUAUUUUCAAGGUUUGUCAAAUGU